This is a non-coding RNA of Sus scrofa (pig), 3877 nucleotides long. NCBI's taxonomy places the organism in Eukaryota, Metazoa, Chordata, Mammalia, Artiodactyla, Suidae. The record is from RefSeq and is a predicted model, not a curated record.
UAGAGUCCGAGUGAGAUGCUCGGAGCAAGGUUCUGCUGGCCGUUGCUGCUUUGAAGAUGGAACGUGUGUGCCUGAGCAGCUGAGUAAUUUGGGUAAUCUCGAGAAACCGAGUCUCCCUUAGAGUGUCCAGAAAGGUACGUGGUCAUGCCAACACUUGUUUUUCAUCUAGUGAGAACAGUUUCAUACUUCCAGCCUUCAAGCUACAAGGUGUCACAUGAAGUAAGCUGAACAUAAUCAAGAAUAAAAGGACUGGAGAAGCUUACAAAUGGGUUCAGUUAACAGGAAAAUUGUGCUAAUUGUACUGAGUUGGACACUGAACAUCUCACAAGGAACGAAAACAACCUGCUACUUGGCCUUAUGAAGCUUUUGAUCGAGCCAUCCAGAUAGAAAUGAACAAAUGUUCUUGCAUUGGCAAUACGUGCUUUGUAUUCAAAAGACAGUGAUGUUAAGAUAUCCUUCUAUAUCAAUGGAAUAAUCCAUGCAUUCAACAUUUAAUUAUUCCUGCUAUGUUUCAAAUCCAGUAUCUAUGUCAGAUAAUUGAGCUUGAACUGACAGAUUGUCAGUAUUUGGUCAUAAUGCUCAAAAUGUUUCUGCUAACGUCCUCUAAAAAUAAUACACAAAGAACUAAAUCAUGUUCUAAGCCGAGGAAGAACUAGAAAUUAUGUGAGAGCGAAACCAACUUAACUUCUAAAUUACGUAACUAAUUUUACUUUGGUAUCAGUAAUGAAAAUGGGACUUAAAUAAAUAAAUACUGUUCAACAUUCUAGAUACACUUACCUAGUCACUCGAAUUAACAAAAACGUUGCUGCAUUUUUUUAAAUUUAUUCCUCUGUCAAUUGAUUUGCUACAGGUAGUAAAAAACUUCACUAAUGAGGGAAAUAUUGUCAAAAUUUGAUUUAGUAUAUUUAUUUUUGUGUUUAUCAUUUUCAGUCUUUCCUUCUUUCUUUACUUUUGCUAAUGAUACCCACUGGCCAAAAUAUAGAGUGGUAGAAGGAGACAUUUUAAUUUAGGUCCAUAACUGUUAAAAAAUUCUAAACUAUGGUACUACUUUAAAAAGUGUAUAAAUUGCAUUAAAAGUAUAGGAUGCUAUUCCUAUAAUAAUGGUUCAUAAAAGUACAUGAAUGAGAAUGAUCACAUGAUAAUUUUUAGAUUUGGUAAAACCAUGUAUGACUCAGCAUUAUUUUAAUAAUUUAUUUGCAAAACUUUUCAAAGCAACAAGGAUCUCCCUUGGCAAUUACUAGAAUUUGGUUUUCAUAUGUUCUUUGGAAAAUAUAAAUGCAUAAAUAAAAAGGAAUCCAGAAUUGUAAUGUCUGGUCCCCCUAAAUUCAAACAAAAUGAAACAGAUGGAUUAGUAAAUCCACUUUAAUAAGCUCAGAUAUUAAGCCCAGUGCUAAGAAGGUCAAAAAUAUUCCCGAGGCGCAAACUAUUUCCUACGUCUUAAGAGAGUAACCCUGUAGAAUAUAAGACCUUGUUUCACUCUCUAGCCAAAAGCAAUAUAGAGACCAGGUGACAGUAUGAAGCCAGUGAUACAGGCUUUAAUUUUCUUUGGGGAAUACUGGACAGUACUUAGUGUGAGCCAGCAUGGGAAAGGAAGAAAAUACUAGAAUUUUGAAUUAUUUUACUUUAUGAGAAGGAAGUUAACAUUGGCAGCACAAACCCUUACUUUAUCUCUCUAUGUAAUCCGCACUUUAUGCAAAACUCAUUACCCCAAGUGUUUUAAGUGUCUCUAACAAUGAGAGGCACAGAAGGAUUAACAAGGGCACAUGUCCAAAUUCUGUGUUUAUUUAAUAGGUGAUAAAAUGACACACACUUAACCCAUAUCACACAUCACCACAUAUUCAAAGCACAGAAAGCAAUGGGGAGCUGGCACUUCUGCUCUUGUAAUGGACUAUCUGAUAGCCACACGUUAAGAUAAAUUUAGUGAUAAUUUCAUCAAAGAUUUUAAGAAACCAGUCAAAUAAUUAGAAAUUACCUUGCUUAACUGAAAAUUUAUGCCUAAGAGUAACUCCACAUUUCCCCCCCCUCUCCUCAGCACCCCCACCAACCACCAUUCAACUCUUUGAUUCUAUGCAUCUGACUGUUUUAGAUACCUCAUAUAAAUGGAAUCAAACACUAUUUGCUUUUCUGUGACAGGCUUAUUUCACUUAGCAUGAUGUCUUCAGGAUCCAUUCCUAUUGUCACACAUGGCAAGAUUUCCUUCUUUUUAAGGAUGAAAAGUAUUCCCUGCAUGUAUAUAUUACGUUUUCCUCAUCCACUCAUCUGUCGACUGACAUCUAGGUUGUUUCCACUUCUUGACUAUGGUGAACAGCCACCACGAACAUGGGAGUGCAGCUAGCUUUUCAGGAUCUUGAUUUCAUUUCUUUCGGAAAAAUAACCAGAAGUGGGAUUGUUGAAUGGUAGUUCUAUUUUUCGUUUUUUGAAGUAUCUCAUACUGUUUUCCACAUUGGCUGUACCAUUUUACAUUCCCACCAAUAGUAUAUAAGAAUUCAAAGUUUUCCGUAUUCUCACCAACACUUGCUGUCUUUUAUUUUUUAUAAUAGCCAUCCCAACAGGUAUGAGGUGAUAUCUCAUUGUGGAUUCAGUUUGCAUUUCCCUGAUGAUUAGUGACACUGAGCGUUAUUUCAUAUACCCAUUGGCCAUUUGUCUAUCGGUCUUUGGAGAACCAUAUAUUCAAGUCUUUGACUCAUUUUUAAAUUGGGUUAUUAGAUUUUUUUGCUACUGAGUUGAAGAAAUUCCUUAUAUAUCCUUAAGAUUAACCUCUUAAGAGAUAUAGUUUGCAAAUAUUUUCUCCCAUUACAUAGGUUUUCUUUUCACUGUUGAUUUUUUUCCUUUGCUGCAUAGAGGCUUUUUGAUUUAAUAUACUCCCACUUGUCUAGUUUUGGCAUUUUGGUCUGUGCUUUUGGUAUUACACCAAAGAUCAUUUAAGAUCAAUAUGAUUAAGCUUUACUCCUAUGUUUUCUUCUACAAUUUUUACAGUUUCAGGUUUUAAAUUUAAGUCAUCAAUCCAUUUCAAAUAGAUUUUUGUGUAUGGUAUAAGUCCAAUUAUAUAGUUUUGCAUGUAGAUACCCAGUUUCCCACCAUUUGUAAACGAGACUGUUUUUCCCCAAUUAUAUAGUCUUUCAAUCUAUUUAAAUUAUCACUUUGUUCAUGCAUUGGUGUCUUUGAUGAAUAUCUUUUACAGUUAUUUUUAAUUUUCUAUAAGGUAGGUCAUGUAACAGGUUCAGGGCAUUCCAGCAGGGUCAGUUUUGGGAGAUUAUUGAGUUCUUUGUUUGGAACAUCUUUGUCUUAAUAUGUUUUCCCUUAACACUCUGUAGAAAUCUUCAUAUUAGACGUCAGGAAUGUUUCUCAGUUAUCACAAACAGUUCACAUUCAGGAGAAAACCUCUGCCAAUCAGCCUUGCUGAAGAUUCAAGGGCCUUUACCAGCUCUUUCCCUCCCCAGGAAGAAUGAGGAAACCAGUUUUAUCCCUCACUCAUUGCUGAGACAGGAAGAAGAAUCUGUGGUGUCUGCCAGCCCAACUGCUGUCUCUAUUUUCCCUCAUGGAACUGGACCUUUCCCAACUCAACAGAGCUCCAAAAUUGGUUAUAUGAUAUAUAUAUAUAUAUAUAUUUUUUUUGACAUCCACAGGGAUGUUGAAGGCUGGAUGCAGGGAUCUACUCUUUCCUUCCUCAGAGUAUAGCUUGGAACUUGAGUUUUUUAACUUACUUGUCUGUUCUGAGUUAUGGGAAGGAUCUAUGGUAUCUAGCAGCUUAAGCUACCAGCUUCAUUGUCCUCAGGUGGCUAGACUGAUGUAGGUCAAAGAUGCAGCUUGGAUCUAGCAUGGCUGUGGCUUAGGCCAGCUUUUGCAGCUCCCAUUUAACCCCUAGCCUGGGAACUUC